RNAcentral lists this ribosomal RNA (1339 nucleotides) under Merismopedia glauca B1448-1. RNAcentral's name for it is "bacterial SSU rRNA". It matches the Rfam family "Bacterial small subunit ribosomal RNA". The record is from RNAcentral. Lineage: Bacteria; Bacillati; Cyanobacteriota; Cyanophyceae; Synechococcales; Merismopediaceae.
AACACAUGCAAGUCGAACGAAGUUCCUUCGGGGACUUAGUGGCGGACGGGUGAGUAACACGUGAGAACCUGCCUUCAGAAUGGGGACAACAGUUGGAAACGACUGCUAAUACCCAAUGUGCCGAAAGGUGAAAGAUUUAUCGUCUGAAGAUGGGCUCGCGUCUGAUUAGCUAGAUGGUGGGGUAAGAGCCUACCAUGGCAACGAUCAGUAGCUGGUCUGAGAGGAUGAGCAGCCACACUGGGACUGAGACACGGCCCAGACUCCUACGGGAGGCAGCAGUGGGGAAUUUUCCGCAAUGGGCGCAAGCCUGACGGAGCAAUACCGCGUGAGGGAGGAAGGUCCUUGGAUUGUAAACCUCUUUUAUCAGGGAAGAAAAAAAUGACGGUACCUGAUGAAUAAGCAUCGGCUAACUCCGUGCCAGCAGCCGCGGUAAUACGGAGGAUGCGAGCGUUAUCCGGAAUUAUUGGGCGUAAAGCGUCCGUAGGUGGUCAUGCAAGUCUGCCGUUAAAGAAUGGAGCUCAACUCCAUACGAGCGGUGGAAACUGCAAGACUAGAGUACAGUAGGGGUAGCAGGAAUUCCCAGUGUAGCGGUGAAAUGCGUAGAUAUUGGGAAGAACAUCGGUGGCGAAAGCGUGCUACUGGGCUGAAACUGACACUGAGGGACGAAAGCUAGGGUAGCGAAAGGGAUUAGAUACCCCUGUAGUCCUAGCCGUAAACGAUGGAUACUAGGCGUGGCUUGUAUCGACCCGAGCCGUGCCGAAGCUAACGCGUUAAGUAUCCCGCCUGGGGAGUACGCACGCAAGUGUGAAACUCAAAGGAAUUGACGGGGGCCCGCACAAGCGGUGGAGUAUGUGGUUUAAUUCGAUGCAACGCGAAGAACCUUACCAAGGCUUGACAUCCCUGGAAUCUUGCAGAAAUGCGAGAGUGCCUUAGGGAGCCAGGAGACAGGUGGUGCAUGGCUGUCGUCAGCUCGUGUCGUGAGAUGUUGGGUUAAGUCCCGCAACGAGCGCAACCCUCGUUUUUAGUUGCCAUCAUUAAGUUGGGCACUCUAGAGAGACUGCCGGUGACAAACCGGAGGAAGGUGGGGAUGACGUCAAGUCAUCAUGCCCCUUACGCCUUGGGCUACACACGUACUACAAUGGUCGGGACAACGGGCAGCUAAACCGCGAGGUCAAGCGAAUCCCAUCAAACCCGGCCUCAGUUCAGAUUGCAGGCUGCAACUCGCCUGCAUGAAGGAGGAAUCGCUAGUAAUCGCAGGUCAGAAUACUGCGGUGAAUUCGUUCCCGGGCCUUGUACACACCGCCCGUCACACCAUGGGAGCUGGUCACGCCCGAAGUCG